RNAcentral lists this long non-coding RNA (26389 nucleotides) under Triticum aestivum (bread wheat). Its description in RNAcentral is "long non-coding RNA (TAES_LNC000150)". The stretch from base 8298 to 8422 matches the Rfam family "MIR1120/MIR1122 microRNA precursor family". The record is from RNAcentral. Lineage: Eukaryota; Viridiplantae; Streptophyta; Magnoliopsida; Poales; Poaceae.
UUUUUUUUUUUUGGACGGUCACCGGGGGGACGGAAUCCCCACCUAAAUAUAUUGCUCAAAAGGCUGCCAAAGCCAAGAGUCGCCCCAUAAGCUUUGGCUGAUCUAGUUUAUAAGGAAAACCGGAUCGAAAACCUAAACAAGUUGACCGCGUUUAUGAGGGAAACCGGGCCGAAAAUCGUACAGGUAACAAGGUUACAGAAGAAGACAAAAAAUAAUUGACGCCCAGGAGAAGACACGACUUACUAGCAUGCAGAAAGACCAACGCCACGAGAGACGCAAGUAGAUGUGGGGUGUUGUUCAGGGAUCCCAAUGCCAAGACUGUGCAAACAACCUAAGCACCACACCGGCGUGCGUACCGAGCCUCACGACACAACAGAGGAUCAUCCAUAACCAACGAGUGCCAAACCAUAACACGAACCUUGACUGGGAGAUCCGCCACGAGCGAUCGAGACGAUUAGCAGGUUGGGGAGGCAUCAUUGCGUCAUCAUUGAGCAAAAGUGAACCAAGACAACACCAAGAGCCCGAAGCUCACCGCAGCACAACGACAACCAUGGGAGGGUCUUGAGCAUGCACAACAAUAGUACAGAGACCACGCGAUGGACAGCCAAAGAGAAAUCACAUGAAGAACACACCAACAUGGAUGACACACUAAAUGAUGGGCAUGGGCGGAUGGAUGGUGGCGAAGGGCUCGACAAGGAGGCAAUGUUGGCGACGGUUUGGGGAGGACGGGCGUAGACAAGUGGGUUGAAGCAAAAUGGAAAGGUCACACACAAUGCAGAGAAGAAGUUCACCAUACAGAUAUGAAGUUGCAAACCGCGCCGUCGACAUGGAGGAGAGCCCAAACCAAGCAGGUACAGCUCAAAGACCACACCUCCAGGAAGGAAAGCGACACCGGAUUGGCGCCGCCGUGGUCAGCUGACACAUGGGUCAGCAGGGAUUUCUCCCAAAGCUAGUACCAAAUCAAGAUCCCAAACCAAGCUGUACAACUCAAAGACCACGCCUCCAGGAAGGAAAGCGACACCGGAUUGGCGCCACCGUGGUCAGCUGACACAUGGGUCAGUAGGGAUUUCUCCCAAAGCUAGUACCAGAUCAAGGCUGACGUCGUCAGAGCAGCUCCGACAGCCGAAGCAAUGCAAAUUAACGACCGACGGGCCACCAUCCAUAGGGGUCGAAGGAGAGGUAGGCGUGAGGUGAUGGAGAGUCGAGGAGCCGGCUGGGGGUGGGGUAGCACGCAAUGGAGCGCAGGGGUGUAGACGGCCAGGUCGGACACUGCACAUGGCAGAUCCGAUGCACGCGUGCUUGGUCGUCGAUGGAGGGGACCUCAAAGGCACAACCAGCCGGCGUAGGUACUCCGGCCUCGCCCAAGCACCAGAACCAGCGCAAGCACUGGGGAUGAAGUAGAGCAAAGGAGGCCGGGCUGCCACCCCGCACCACCCAGGCAGGACGAGCAGGCAGACCAAGACUCGCACAAGGCGGGGAGCAUGGAUCCCGCAGUCGUGGCACACCGGCCCGGAGCAGAGGAGGGUCGACGCGGAGGGUGGCGACGCAGGUCGAGAGCGGCGAGCACCGACCGGAUCUGAACGGUGGAGGACGCCGACGGCCACGGUGAAAGUGGACGUUGCGCGGCAGCGCGAGAUGGGGCGAGGCAGUAGUAGGGAGGUGGUGGAGCGUCGGCGCGCAACAGGGCCCGGAGCACGCCCGGAGAGCUGAGGACGAGAUGGAUCUGGAUCUGGCGAGUGGAGAUGGACCGGGGAGGGUUGCGGCCGCGCGCUGCGUGCGUCCUCGCCGCCGCCGUCAGCCGCUGGGCUUUGCCCUUAGGCUUCCUCCAGCGAUGGCGAGUAGGGAAUGGGCGGCGCGGUUGCUCCCUGUUGUUGGCGGCGGCGGGGGCCUCCGGAGUCGCGAGAGCGACCCGGGAGGCAGCGGGCAAAACAAAUAAAAUUAGUGGUCCAAAAUUUAAAAACAGCCUUUUGGAGCAUCGUUUUUUUUCCAAAGCAUUAUGUAUAGUAUUUUUUAUUCACAAGUGAAACACUAAGCAACGUUUGUCAUACAAGAAACUCAGUCACCCAAAAAAAACACCCGCAAAAAAAAUACAAGAGACUCUUAUAUUUCUCUGCACGCUCUUAUAUUUCUUUACGGACGGAGUAUUAAAAAGAAAUACAUCCAGCAAGCUACAACCUGUGCAAACGCGUAGGAUUUCAUUUUCCGCUAGAACUAGGUUCUCACGUAGUGUGAGAGAUCCAAAGACGUUAUCUACUCCCCGGAGCACCACCUGGUCAGGCCGGUUGCCAUCUUGCUACGCCAUGUCGACAUCGGCAACGCAUCACGGCAUGCGCACUACGGUAAUCAUGCUCAAAUUAUAUCUGCAGCCAGCGUCUGACUUCCGUGUCAACCGAAAAGCUUGAGGAUUAAUUAAGAUUAGAGGACCAAAGGCCUUCAUGACCAGCCGGGCUAGCUAGCUAGCAAAAGGUGUGCUCUAAACAAAGCAUACUAGUGCUAGUAAUUAAUUGACCAAUUUGAAGUUUCAAAUCUACUCCACUAAUCAAUUCGGAUGGGAGGGACAAGUCAAAUCGCCACCAGGCUGGAUCAGUUGUAUAUUGGUUCAUUUUCAUACAAUUUCUUGAAGAGCAAGUGGGUACAAUUCUUGGGCAGCAAGUGGUUUUACAUAUUAUAAGUUUGUAAUCCAAGUGUGUGAUGGGCAACGACGACGGAUAUCCGGUGGAUCUUGUAUGACCAUCAGCUUGCAGCAUGCAUGAUCAAGUUGCUUAAUUUAUUUACUAUGUGUGCUAUUAUUGGAAAUAUAUAAACGGUUUAUGGGUUCGAUCGUGUGGAUCAGUAGAUGAAAUGUGCUGGUGAGUAUAAGAUUAGUUUGAUUGACAGUAUCUAUGUGAAUCUUUUUUGUGUGUGGGUAGGCAGUUAGUGUGCAAGAGGGGUUUAUAUUUGGAGAGCUGUUCAAGCGUCUAGUUGCAACUUGACCAAUACUAUAAAUAAAAUUGAGAUAAGCCUUAUAAACCGAAAAGGAGGGAGUAUUGCUCAUGCUAAUCUACAGCAACAACAAAAGAGAUCAGUGUGCGGGAACCAUGGACCUGGAUUCCUAGGCAUGACUGGACAGCUAGAUGCUCGUGUACACAGGAUGCUAUGGUACCUUUAGUUCUGAAUCACCUCUUUCUUGAUUUCUCCUUUUGUCCCAAUUUCACGACCAGGUUCAUUCAAGGUUAAUUUUAUACUCUCGCUGUUCCAAAAUAAAUGUCUUUGAUGUAGUAUAAUUUUAAAAUGUACUAUAUCAGAAACACUUAUUUUGGGAUUGAGAGAGUAAUAAAUAUGCUUGGUAGUAUGAUUGUCAAGUAAACGAGACCAGUGGCGGAGUGUGGCAUCAAAUGAAGGCGUCUUCAUGUCUUUCUCCUUCUUGGGGGCAUCGUGUUGGAGCCGGCUACGACUGAAACACCGGGGGAUGGCGGCAUCUUUGUCGCGUGGUUAGCUGGGGUAGGGCGUUAGUUUUUGUUUUUGGCAAAGAUGAUGGCGUUGAGUGGAGCUCCGGUCGCGGCGUGGACUUCGGUAGCCGGUUCUUCCCGGCGUCUCCAAGGUGCUCUUUCAUGGAUUGCUUGGUUGCUUUUUAGUCGGAGCUGCGAUGGAGCUGGUUCGGGUGAUGACGAUGACAGGCACUCGGUGGUCAUUGGUAGAGGGCACGGUCAGCGCAAGUCAUGCAUAUUUUCCUUGUGAUGGUCGUCGUCAAAGUUGGAGAUGUCGGUUGGCUGCGCGUGUGACUUUCCAUUGACAUGUGUCGUCUUGGCUUCUGCGCAGCUGUUUGCGGGUUGGCCUCGAUGAUAGAGCUCUAUGGUAAUGCCGGAGUCGCCAGUUCGAGGUAAUCGGUGAUGACGAUGACGCUUGCGACUCCUCGGCGGAUGUCUUUCUUCUUUGCAGCUUUGUGUUCCAUGUCGGUGCCCAGGUUAGCCGGUGAUGCCUAUAUCAUGUGGGUUGGGUUGUAUCGGUCUUAGCCCGAUUUUCCAUAAAUUAACCAGACAAUUAUGUUCUUCUUAAUCAAUGAAAAUGCAAAUCUUUAGCCUUGUUUCAAAAAAAAAGUAGGAAGGGGCCAAUGGACCUCAUAUUUGGCGCGCUAGGCGCACACACCCAUUCCCCGCACCCUUCUGGACUAGCUCAUGUGUAGGCACCCUAUUUUUUCGUUUUUGUUUCUUUUGUUUUUCUUUUUCCCUUUAAAUAAUUUGAGAUUUAAAAAAAUCCAUAAUUUUUUUGAAUUUAAAAAAAUGUUCAAAAAAUCAUAAAAUGCUCAUGGAUUCAAAAACGUAUUCAUGAUUUCAAAACAGAUUAAUGUAUGUUCUGAAUUUUUUUCAGAAUUUUGAGGAAACAGAUGCCCACAAAACAAAAUUCAUCAUGAUUUUUAAAAUAUAACUAAUUAUUCAAAAAAUGUUUGUGACUUUGAAUAAAAUGUUCAUGAUUUUUUUCAUGUUCGCAAAAUUCAAAAUAUGUUCAUGAGUUACAAAAAAGUUCAUCAAUUCAAAAAAUGUUCAUGAAUUCGAAAAAUGUUUGUAAAAACUUAAAAAAAUGUUCGUUAAUUAAAAAAAUUGUUCCCCUAUUUCAAUAAUUGUUCGUCAUUUAAAACAAUUUUGCUGACCAAAAAAAAGUUCACGAGCUUCAUAGAAAAUGUUCAUGAUUUUGUAAAACAAUCUUUGCAAAUUUAGAAAUGUUCACAAUUUUGCAAACGUUUAGCAAUUUGUAAAAAAUGUUCUUGAAUUUUAAAAAUGUUUGUACAUUCAAAAAUGUACAUGAUUUCAAAAACUAAGAAAAAGGAAAGAAAAUGUAAUAUAAAAAUAAUAGAAAAAAAGAACAUGAAAAUUGAGGAAUAGAAAAAACGAAUAUGAAAAAAUAAAGAAAAGAACGAAAAUAAAAAGGCAGAAAAAACUAAAAGAAGAAACAGUUUGGGAAGGUUCUAGAAACUUCCCAAAUCUGGAAAGAGCUAAUGCGCCGGCCCAAAGUGUACGUAGCUGCAGGGGGUACGUGCUUGGUUGCUAACUAGUGAUCUAUGCACGAAAUAGGAUUCCCGGUGCGAAUUGCUAAUCCCAUAGUGGUAAUACUGGGCCAUUGCCCAAUAUGGUCCCAAGAAGCUUCGGUGCUAAACGAGAUCACAUUGAGAUACUCAAAUGUAAACGAGAUCACAUCGAGUCCUCCUCGUUGGCGCCUUAUCCGCCCCUUUUGCCUGGUGGCGCUCACGUCCAACUCACUUGGGCCGACGCGUUUAGCUGGAUUAGAUUCUUUCUUUCUAUCGCUUCCGUUUGAAAAAAAAAACAGCUCGCUCCUUCGAUUUAAUUGACUGUUGAUCGGUCAACUAAGUUGACCGUGUUGACCAUUAAACUUUUGACUGCUUCAUUGUUGAACAUGUUGACUUUAAAAAAACAUCAAGUUUGAAAAAAAAGUUCCUUCAUUUGAAAAAGUUCAUCGAUUUUGAAAAAGUUCAUCAAAUUUUCGAAAAAGUUCAUCGAUUUGAGUAAAAAUUUCACCACUUCUAAACAAAGUUCAUUGAUUUGAGAAAAAGUUCAUCGAUUUUGAAAAAAAGUUCACCAAUCGGAAAAAACUUCAUCGGAUUUCAAAAAUGUUAAUCAAAUUUGAAAAAUAGUUCAACGAAUUUGGAAAAAAAUUCAUCGAAUUUUAGAAAGGUUCAUCUAAUUUGAAAAAAGUUCAUCGCAUUUGAUAAAAGUUCGUCGAUGUUGAAGAAAAAGUUCAUGAAUUUCAAAAAAGUUCUUCCAACCCAGGAAGAAGAAAAAAGAAAAAAAGAAAAAAAGAAAAAAACGAAAAAGAAAAAUAGAAUGAAGUAAAAGGCAUAAAAUGAUGAAAGUAGCACAGCCAGCUGGAGGUGGCACGGUGGUUAUCACAGCUUACAGUUAAGCUGGACGUCUCAGGUUCGGAUCAAAGCACUAGCAGAUUUCCUUCGCGUUUUGAAAAACAAAGGAAAAAGGCUAGAUGGGCAAAGAUGACUCGAGGAGCAAAACCUCUAGUCGACGCUCGAGGCUCCUCCACCUCAUCCACUCCCUCUUGUCAUCGCUAGGGAUUGCCGCUUGACAAUGGUCGCGAGGAGUUUUAAUUGUUGGUGACUCGAGGAGCAAAACCUCUAGUCGACGCUCGAGGCUCCUCCACCUCAUCCACUCCCUCUUGUCAUCGCUAGGGAUUGUCGCUUGACAAAGCCCAUGGUUGACGAUGGUCGCGAGGAGUUUUAGUUGUUGGUGGUCUGCUUUGUGGCUAUUUCAAGAAGACACCAUAUAUUUCUUGCGUCGUACUAGCUGGCGCUGGUCUGGGAAGAUCCAUUUUCAUUUAUUUUUAUGAACACUAAAGAUCUAUUUUCAAGAUGGUGAUUGGAACAUCGCUUCAUGUUCAGGUGAAAGUGCGAUUACCCUUUAUCUAUUGGACCUAGCAAUGACACAUUUGCGUCGUUAGUUUGCUGAAGGCAUUUGUCUUGGUGACGAUGUUCUAGUCUUCAUUGAUUGGACACAUCAUCCGCAAUGAGUAAUUUUAACAUGCUCCUUCUUACCCCCUCUUUUCACAUGGGAGGUAAAAAGGUAAGAGUUAAUCAGGCCACUACUUAAUUAAAUCAACGGCUCAGAUCUAUUAUAUACUCUUACCUUUCAUGUGAGGUAAGAGAGAGCAUGCUAAAAUUUGCCGAAAUGAAAACAUUUGUCAUAGGUCCUAACUAUCACAGGCAGAAUUCGGCAACAUCAACGAGAGUGUUGUCUUCUUUCUUAAAAACCUUGUUUCAGAAGAAUGAUGAUUUAGUCGUUGUAUCUUUUCAUAAUUUUGCCAUUCUUGUGUAUUUGUUGUACUCGUACUCUAAUUGUUGAUGAUUUGCCCUUAUUGCCCUGCAACAACUCUAAUAAAUAUUUAGUUGUGUGUAUUCGCGGAUGGAGGGGUCGGGAUAUAGGACCUUCCUUUUGGAAAAAGAAAAGCUUGGUAGCAUUAUUGAUGGGUCAGUAUGAUUUCGAUAGUCCGGUUGCAACUUGAGCAUUGUAAACAUGAUGCUGCUCUGGGUGCUCUGCAACAAAGCAAAAAAAAACUGAGAACUCGAUGCACAAGUGUGCCAUGGACCUAGAUUCCUAGAUAUGAUUGGACUACUGUCUACUGGAUGCUCAUAUAUAUGCAGGGAAGAUGCUGGGAGCCUUUGGUUUUCCAUCACUUGUUUUUCUUUCUCCUUUUUGUCCUUUGUCCUUUCUUUCAGGUCCAGGGUAUGAUGAGAGGAUAAAAGAGAUGCCAAACCAAACUAUUUCCACUGGGAUAAUUAGGAAUGAAAGACAAGACAAAUGACUUUUAAAAACUCAAUUAAUCUGAUGGAAAACUAAAAAGGAUGGAAUAAAAUGCACUAAUAAUUUCAAAAUAACGUCUUGCAAGUGGCACUACACCUCUCUGGCUCUCUCUUAUACAGUCGCCAGCCGCUCGUGUGCAUCCUACGAAAGUAUUUUUGUUUUGCGAGGGAGCAUCCUACGAAAGUUGUCUCAAGUUUUCGUUCGUUUUUGGUUUGUGCCACAUAACAUGACCCCUCGAUCGGUCUCUCUCGAGGAAGAGUCGCCGUCACCAUGGUCCGUGUCCAUGUCCUUAUCUUAAUCAUCACCGGUUCAGCUAUUUUGUAUCAUACCGCGUGCAUUUUUUUUCUUCAAAAAGAGAGGAGCUCCCUCGGCCUCUCCAUCGAGUGAUAAUCGCAUUUGUUUAUGUAGUAUCUUGUCAUGGUCCUGCUUUAACUUAAAUAAAAUCAUGCCUGUGUGCAUCAGUCGAUGCAAAGGCAAGAAGAUAUGACGUUUCUUUAGAAUGAUUCUUGAUAGUAUUUCCUAUGGAUCAGUAUAAUUUGAUAGUCUUGUUGCAAGUUGAGCCAUGCAAAUAUGAUUCUCUUACUACCAUUUACCUAUGCUGAUCCGCAACAAGGGAAAAGAACUUGGUUCACAAGUGCACCACGGACCUGGACUACUGCAUGCUCGUACAAAAAAAGAUGCUAAAUGCUUUGGUUUUCCAUCGCAUUUUCUUGCUUUCUCCUGGUUGUCCUCUUGUCCUUUCUUUUUAGUCCAGGUCAGUCAAGAUUAAUUAUGCUAAUUAAUACAUAGUGUGAUGGAUGAAUGGAGAUGCCAAAGCAAACUAUUUUAGGCCCUCUUUGAUUCGUAGGAUUCUCAAAAUGCGGGAAUAUGAAAAAUAAAAGAUUGAAGUGGCAAUGCCCACUUGAAUCCCAUAGGAAUAGCACACAGUGUUUUAUGCCGCAGAAAAAACAAAGAAAGUGAAAAAAAAUGUUGGAGUGGAUGGUAGAUUUUCAAUGAAAUGUACUCCCUCCGUCCGGAAAUACUUGUCGCACAAAUAGAUAAAAUUGGAUGUAUAUAGAACUAAAAUACGUCUAGAUACAUCCAUUUUCCCGACAAGUUGUUCCGGACGGAGGGAGUAGUACGUAUGAUUUCAUAGGAAAAAAAUUCCUAUACGAAUCAAUCCUAUGAAUCAAGCGACCACUGUAGGGAAAAUUCCUAAGGAUUAUAACUCUCCAAAAAUCCUAUGAAAUUCCUUUGAAUCAUAUGAGAAUAUACGGUUGAAACAUGACCAGUGCGCGGAUAACUAGGAGAUCAUAGACAGGGUUGAUCGCCCAAAAUAGCAACUGUCAAGUUGCACUUUAAUGGAACACGUUUCAUUUGUACCAACAUUAUUUACAAAUCAAAAUUUGAAAAAAAUAAGUUCCAAAUCUACCGAAUAUUUCUGAUCGUUGUACAUUUUUUAAGUUCCUAACAAAAUGUGAUGUCACUUUUCAAGAAUAUUGAUGUUUUCCCAUAGUUAUUUUACUUUUCUGACCUCCCUCACCCCCUAAUGUUAGUAGGAUGGAAUGUGAAGUUAAAAAAAAGGAUGCAAUGUGCACGAAACCACAACCACUUUAGUAUCAAAACUGUUGUCCUCGAGCAAGCCAAAAGUUUUUCUUUGAGAAACACAGCACAGCACAGACUACGCACACACACUCACCCUUAUAAACACACGCAUGUAUAUCCUACACCUACAAGGGUCUGAGNNNNNNNNNNNNNNNNNNNNNNNNNNNNNNNNNNNNNNNNNNNNNNNNNNNNNNNNNNNNNNNNNNNNNNNNNNNNNNNNNNNNNNNNNNNNNNNNNNNNNNNNNNNNNNNNNNNNNNNNNNNNNNNNNNNNNNNNNNNNNNNNNNNNNNNNNNNNNNNNNNNNNNNNNNNNNNNNNNNNNNNNNNNNNNNNNNNNNNNNNNNNNNNNNNNNNNNNNNNNNNNNNNNNNNNNNNNNNNNNNNNNNNNNNNNNNNNNNNNNNNNNNNNNNNNNNNNNNNNNNNUCACUAGUAGAAAAAGGGUCAAAUGUGAAGCACAAUAGUGCCGGUUGGAAUUUCAGCCGGCACUAAUGUGUACACUAGUGCCGGUUCGUGGCGGCGAUCAAUAGCACCGGUUCGUGGCGAACCUUUAGUACCGGUUCAUGCCACGAACCGGUACUAAAGAGGCUGUGUCAGCCUGCGGUCAGGCUAUGGCCCCACCAUCACCAUUUAGUGUCGGUUCGUACCACGAACCGGUACUAAUGAGGUUAUGGCAAGCUGUUUUUUAGUCCCACCUCGCGAAGUGAGAGGGACUAAGAGCGGUUUAUAAGCCCUGAGUGCAGAGACGAUGAAGAAGAGGCUCAAUGCUCACGUUGCUUAGCUUCAAGCCUUCAGGAAUACUGUAGACUGCAUGGAGCUAUGCGCAGUGCAGUUUAUACUAUUCCAAAAGGCUUGAAGCAAAUUAACGAGCAUUGCACCUCUCUUUUAUUUUUAAUAACUUAUUACAACUCCGGACUUCUUCUGUUAUGGCAAAAACUAAUUGCACGUCGAUAUUUUUUUUUAAGUUAUAACUCUAGACUUUGACCAUCAAGUUUUGCAGAAAAGAAAAAAUAGCAGAAAAGAAGAAAAACUAUAGCUGAAAAGAAAAAAAACAAAAUAAAAAAACUACUCAGAAAUAAAUAGAAGAAAAUAAAUAUAGCAGAAAAGAAAAAACUACUCAGAAAUAAAUAGAAGAAAAAAUAAAGCAGAAAAGAAAAAAAAUAUUAUAUUUGCUAUUUUCAAUCGUUUACAAAAUGACCAUGAAAUUAAAAAUCACUACAAAAUGAACUCUGAAAAUGUUGAAUUUUGGCAAACUAGAUGAAAAACUACUCACAAAUAAAUAGAAGAAAAUAAAUAUAACAGAAAAAAAUUAUACAAAAAACUACGCAAAAAUAAGAAGAAGAAGAAGAAGAAGAAUAAGAAGAGGAAGAAGAAGGAGGAAGAAGAAGAAGAGGAAGAAGAAGGAGAAGAGGAAGAAGAAGAAGAAGAAGAAGAAGAAGAAGAGGAAGAAGAAGAAGAGGAAGAAGAAGGAGAAGAAGUGGAAGAAGAAUGUUGGGGUGCUGCCCUGUGGGCCUGCCAGACCUUGGGUGUGCAAAUACAUGCCCAGUAGGGCCAGCAGGCUCACAGGUAAAGUUCGAAACGGCAGCCGCGGCUGGGUUUAUAAAUCAGUGCGACAUUUCUUUUUUUUAAGUUAUAACUCCAGACUUUGACCAUCAAGUUUUGCAGAAAAGAAAAAAUAGCAGAAAAGAAGAAAAACUAUAACUGAAAAGAAAAAAUAGCAGAAAAGCGCACCGCCAUUAGUACCGGUUGGUGGCUCCAACCGGUACUAAUGGGUUGUCAUUUAGUACCGGUUGGAGCCACCAACCGGUACUAAAGGCCCAGUUUCCCGCCGCUUGGGCUGGCCAAAAUAGGCCUUUAGUACCGGUUGGUGGCUCCAACCGGUACUAAAGGCUCCCCCUAUAUAUAUGACACUUACAAAAAAUCAGUUAUCUCGUCGCCGCUUCGUUCCACUUCUCGCGCGAGAGAGUCUCGAUCUCGACGACGACGCCGACGCCGCCGCGCCGCCGUGUCGUCGCCCUCGCCGCCCCCGCCGCCCGUCAUCGUCGUCNNNNNNNNNNNNNNNNNNNNNNNNNNNNNNNNNNNNNNNNNNNNNNNNNNNNNNNNNNNNNNNNNNNNNNNNNNNNNNNNNNNNNNNNNNNNNNNNNNNNNNNNNNNNNNNNNNNNNNNNNNNNNNNNNNNNNNNNNNNNNNNNNNNNNNNNNNNNNNNNNNNNNNNNNNNNNNNNNNNNNNNNNNNNNNNNNNNNNNNNNNNNNNNNNNNNNNNNNNNNNNNNNNNNNNNNNNNNNNNNNNNNNNNNNNNNNNNNNNNNNNNNNNNNNNNNNNNNNNNNNNNNNNNNNNNNNNNNNNNNNNNNNNNNNNNNNNNNNNNNNNNNNNNNNNNNNNNNNNNNNNNNNNNNNNNNNNNNNNNNNNNNNNNNNNNNNNNNNNNNNNNNNNNNNNNNNNNNNNNNNNNNNNNNNNNNNNNNNNNNNNNNNNNNNNNNNNNNNNNNNNNNNNNNNNNNNNNNNNNNNNNNNNNNNNNNNNNNNNNNNNNNNNNNNNNNNNNNNNNNNNNNNNNNNNNNNNNNNNNNNNNNNNNNNNNNNNNNNNNNNNNNNNNNNNNNNNNNNNNNNNNNNNNNNNNNNNNNNNNNNNNNNNNNNNNNNNNNNNNNNNNNNNNNNNNNNNNNNNNNNNNNNNNNNNNNNNNNNNNNNNNNNNNNNNNNNNNNNNNNNNNNNNNNNNNNNNNNNNNNNNNNNNNNNNNNNNNNNNNNNNNNNNNNNNNNNNNNNNNNNNNNNNNNNNNNNNNNNNNNNNNNNNNNNNNNNNNNNNNNNNNNNNNNNNNNNNNNNNNNNNNNNNNNNNNNNNNNNNNNNNNNNNNNNNNNNNNNNNNNNNNNNNNNNNNNNNNNNNNNNNNNNNNNNNNNNNNNNNNNNNNNNNNNNNNNNNNNNNNNNNNNNNNNNNNNNNNNNNNNNNNNNNNNNNNNNNNNNNNAUACUUACUUUGAACUAGUUGAAUUAAUAUAACUAGUUUAUUUUUAGUAAAUGUUUAGUUGAACUAGUUGAAUUAAUAUAUAGAACUAGUUUAUUUUUAGUAAAUGCUUAGUUGAACUAAUUGAAUUAAUAUAACUAGUUUAUUUUUAGUGAAUGCUUAGUUGAAUUAAUAUAAAUAGUUGAAUUAAUUGAAUUAGUAAGUGUUUAAUGUUUCGCCUAAUAUGAACAUAGGAAAUGUCGUCUGACGACGGAAAAAAAUUUAUUAUGUGCGAAUACUGUGAAGACCAGCGCGGCCAAUGCGACAGAAAUUUCCUUGUUGAUGAUAGGCGAUUCAGCAUCAAGCUGGAUGAGACUUUCGAAUUCGAUAUAGUAAGUCACAACGACAAGUCUGUUUUCGUAAUUAAGCAUGACUUAUAUAUGCUUCAUUUGCCUGACUUAUAAUUUUUAAUUUUCACUAUUCUACUAGCGCAUCCCCUGCCAUGCAAGAAUUUUUGUCUUGGAUAAAAUAGGUUUCAAAGAUAUGGAAACUAUGGAGGUAAAGAGAGCUUACCUGAAAACUGAGCAUGAUGGUUAUACUUUCAACGUCAAAGUAUACAAUGCACACACGUACACCUAUUUUGAAUGCAAAACUUGGCAAGCACUAUGCAAGGCUUAUGCAUUUGAGCCUGGUAUGGUUAUCACCUUUGAUAUUCGUCCGGAAGAUGAUAUUGAAGGUAAUAGAGACAUAUGGGUCGAUGUGCAGACGUCUCCAGUUCUACCAUUAUGUGAGUUCUUCUCAACUAUAUUUUUGUCUUUGAUAUUGCUUAUUCAAAAAUAACUGACAACUAAUUUCUAUUGACAGCUUAUCUCCAUUCAACCAAACAUGUCCGGCGCUUGGUAGACAGGACCUACUACUGUCCCGGCGCUGAACUAAACUGCGAGGAGAUAAGUCAUUAUGUUUCAUGGCUUGAGGAUCUUCAUACUGUGAAGACAAAUUUUCUUCCUGCACUUAGAAAUGUUAGUACUCAAAACGUGCGACCAAUAAUGAUGGUAUUGAACUACGGUCACAUCUAUUUAGGAAUGAUGGUAAGAUAUUUACUAUUUGUCCUCAGUGCAUAUUUUGCAUACAUAUUUUUUGCUAAACUUUUCAUUGCUAAGUAUAUUAAUUAAGUAUUAUAGGAUGUUCUUCAACAGGGACUCCCGAUGACAGUUGUGCCUCAGGGGAUCGAGACUAAAGGUCAGAUGUCAAUUGUUAGCUUACGACCAAAAUAUCCUGCAUUGCACAUGAAUGCAUUCAAGAUUUCUAGAAGCGAUGAAUGCUUAAUAGUGAAAGAUUGGAGGAAAAUUGUUAAUGAUCGCAGAGAAGUACUAGGGGGCAGCAAUGAGAAGCGCAUCCCACUAUUAGGAGAUAGGUUCAUCGGCAUGCUCCAGUAUGAUCAAUCAGGAGAGCUAUACAUGUUCUAUGCUAUUUUACCAGAGAGAGAGUAGCUAGCAGGAGUGAUUUAGCUAGUUUUCCAUGCUGCUCUUAAUUAGUACUUGUCCUUUCAUGUCCGUGUUCUUCGUUCUGAACUUAAGUGAUUUGCUUUUGUGGUGUUAUAUAUGAACGCUUAUAAUAUCAUGACAAUCAUGUUGAACUCGAUGAUUGGUUCUACUAGAAAUUAUAUAUAUAUAUAUACAUAUACAUAUAAUAUAUAUAUAUAUAUGCAUAACGUUUACAAUGUGUAGUAUCGUAAAAUACCAGCAAACGAAAAAGAAUUAAAAUGGAAACACAAAAUUAAAUGAAAAAGAAUUCAUAAAACUAAAAAAAAAACAAACCUUAUAGUACCGGUUAGUCUUACCAACCAGUACUAAGACCAACCGGUACUAAAGGGUUCCAGGCCCCUGGAGCUGGCUCGUGCCACGUGAUUUCCCUUUAGCACCGGUUCGUGCUGAACCGGUACUAAGGGGGGGGGGGGCUUUAGUGCCCACACUUUAGUGCCGGUUAUGGAACCGGCACUAAAGGGCCUUACGAACCAGUGCUAUUGCUCGGUUCUGCACUAGUGGAGAGAGAGAGACCGAUCCUAUAGAUUUUGAGAUUGAUGAAAUCGCCUCGUAGUUGGCGGGCAUCCCAUGAUGCCGAACAAAUAGCACCAGAAGAAAGCCACGAAUACAUUCAACCCAGGACAUAUUUUUAUAGAAGAAGUCUACCCGGAUGAGAUCGCGAAAAUUCGCUCCCAACCAGAGUCAAACACCUGUCUGCAAGGAAGCGCCGCUGCGCCCUUGCCGCUGGGCUUCUAAACAUAAAAUUUUGAAGGUUUAUUGCUGGUAUUACCGCAGUAGUGCACCGCCCGUCCUAGGAAAGAAAGCUGCGUCACCUUUCCGAUUUGUGUUUUGUCUGUUCUUUGAGUUAGGUAGGGUAGGCGUGCGAGUGAGUGCGACACAGCAUGUGUCCUCUACCUCUACCUCUACGUACGUACCUCCGCGUAGCUAGCUAGCUAGCUAGAGAGGCGUCGCCCUCCCUCCCCACCGUCCGUGCCCGGUGCCCAUGUCCUUGUCCCAAUCGUCACUGACUCAGCUAAUUUGUACUCUGCUCACCGCACUGCAUGCACGCCUAGCACCUAGGCCAGCCCUGCCCACCACCGUGAAUGAUCAUCAUCCAUCCGCCGUCGCAACUGCACACAACAAACUGUUUGGCACAGCAUCCUCUCGCCAUCUCUCUUUGCUGCGUACGUGCGAUCCGUUCGUUCGUUGGUGACAGUCAGAGUUCCUGAAGAAAUAGAUAGGCAGAUCAAGCGACUCCUCUCUCACCAUUCAGAGUUGUUUCUUUCUCCUGUUAAUUUUCUUCCUCCGGCCAAAGGUGAUCACAUUCACAUCACGCACGCACGCAUGAUUGUCAUUUCUUUUUUUUCGUUUUCCCUGUUCAUUUUGUUCUUCCGGCCGGGGGUGAGUCAGUGCAUGAUCUCGUUAAUUAAUUAUUAGCACAUGCAAACGUUUGGAGGAGCAGAGACAUCAACGUAGAGGAGGCGCCAUGUAUUAGAGUUGGAGGCAUGAGCAAGGACACUGCUGGUGGAAAACACGGGCGUACAGGUACAGAGUUAAGGAACACACGACGGUUUUAUUUUAUUCAGCGCGCGCGCGGGCGGGCGCAUGCAGCGGCUAGUGAUGGUGGUGGUGGUGGUGGUGGUUGCUUGUCCAGUUGUCCUCCUCAUCCUCGUGCUCGCCUCGCCGGCCGGCCUCCUGGGCGCCGGCUCAGUUGCAGCUGCAGCAGGAGCAGCCGCAGGCCGUGCCGCACUUGCAGGUGGUGCAGUCGCAGCCGCCGGUCUCCCCGCCGGCCGUCUCGAACCCGCCGGAGCUCCUGCACAAUCACAACCAGGUCGGUCCAUCCACCACCACCAGUCAGUCAGUCAGUCAGUCAGAGAUCCAUGCAUGCACGUUCUCAGUUAAACAGAAGAGCUGAUUAAUCAGUCAGCGCGUACGAUACGUACCCCUUGUGGGAGGCGGUGGGCAUGACCAUGGCGGCGGCGCCGGCGGUGGCCUCAACGUCGGGGAACAUCUUGCACCUACGUUGCACAGGUACACAUGCAAACGGCGAGUCAGUACCUAGUCUGAAACGUUAAUUCACCCACACACGUCCAGUUUGGUUCAAGAUGUUUACCCGCCGCAGCCGUUGCCGCACUUGCAGCCGGCGCCGCAUCCGCAGUUGCCGCCGCAGCAAGACAUCCUCCUUUCCUUGGUGGGUGGUGGCGAGGGGAGGAAGGUGAGGACUGAGAGGAUGCUGCGACUGUGAGGAGUGAGGAGGCUGGUGUGCUUGGGGUGUGGAGGAAGAAGGCGAGGAGGGGGCCUAUAAAUAGGCGGGGCGGGGGGCGGCAAAGGAUGGAGGGGAGCGCGCGGUGCCCCACCGCGCCAGCUUUAAUCGGGAAGAGGAAUCAUCAUCAACGUCGACGUCGACGUCGUAGCAGCGGCAGUAGACGCCGGCGGCACGCAUGCGCCUUCCCUUUCUGCCCGCCCGCGCGCCUCUGAUCCCAUCACUGUAGCUGUAGGUAAAUAAAGUGGGAAUAGACGCACUCUAUCGACGCCACAGUAACAUGCACGCACCAUGAUCGCCACCCUACAGCAGUAGCACGAGCGGCACGCACUGAGUAGUAGCGUUUUGGAUCAGAUGAUGGAGCUGGAGAUAAGCAACAACCGACUGACGGGCUGGCCAGAGUUACAGUGGUUAAAUAAACAGAGGAAGGCUCGCUCGCCCGCCCGCUCACUCAAUGAAGCGCCAACAAUUCACUCACGCACAAAUGCCUUCACUGUGCCAGCGGCCAGCCUAGUCGUCUACAUCAUCAUCAGAUCAUGUCACUCACUUCCAACAGUUUCUACAGCCCAGAGCGUCGCAGGCGGAGGCGGACAACAUCUGUCAGCAGCAGCGUCUGCUUUCCCCGCCGCUCAUUUGUUCUGCCAGCGGUGAUAAUUACUGUCUUUGUCGUUCGGUUCACCGCUGCCGACGGUUUCGAUCGUGAGCUGGAAUUUCUUUUACCACCAUGCAUGUCUUCUCGAGCAAAACGUAAGCUACCUACUCUCUCUCUCUCUCUCUCUCUCUCUACUUGCUCGUACCGAAAAUUUCAUUUUUGAUAUGACAAGUGGAUGCGUGCAGCACUCGCCGGGGUUGCCGGUGGAAUCAAAACGUACGUGCGCCAUUGCUGGUAAAGAAAAAGCUUGGACGGAUGCAGAGGUGAGAGAAAGGAAGGGCGGCUCACGGGGGCGAGCACUGUCCAAUCCAAUGCCGAUCGUCUCAAGUUGCUUGCGGGGAGGAAACUGUACUACUAUUAGUACAAUUAUUGCCCAUGGAGCAUCACGCAACUGCUCCUCCGUGGUAGUGGAGUAGAGUAGAUAUAUUUGGAACAGUGUGAGGCGAGGCGAAUCGCCACCACCACCAACGCGUACUGUGCAGAUGAUCUCGCCCCCUUGCUUGGUCUGACUCAGCAGCACACGAUUCAUAAUUAUUGGCGCCAUUUCUGUCUAUUAUACACUCCCUCUGUAAACAAAUAUAGGCUGCAUGUCCCAUCUCCUGUAUGCAGCGGCGAAGAGAGCUGAAGCGGAGCAUGUUCAGGCUGAAGAACAGAGUUAGCGUCUCCCGGGUUCAGUUUCUGCGUCCUCUGUUCUGUCGGAACGGAAGGCAGCCGUCCGAUGCGCAAGCAACGGUUUGGAUAAGUUCCUGAUGAGGUUUACAGGGCUGGCUGGGGGAAGGAGUUUGGCAUCUGAAGAUCGGACCACGUUCUGAACCUGGGGUACCCUGGCAAGGACGAACUGUUCCCUCCUCCUUCGAUCUUCUAUCCAAAAUACACUAUACAUACUCACAAAAGAAUAUCCACCAUAUUAGGUACUCCCACCGUAACUUAUUAUAAGAUCUUCUUAGAGAUGUUGUAAAUGUCAAAAAAGCGCAUGUUAAGUUACGAAGGGAGUAUUUGAAAGGCAGUGUCCCGGCACUAUGAGAGAGGCAAAUUAUAGAAGUGGGGAGUAAAGUGUGGCGAAUGAGGAUGAUCUUUUUCUUUCCUCCAAACAACUUCUCAUUUUAGUUCUACGGAGCUCGGGACAAGAACAGAGACGUUUCACUUGGUCGAAUGAACGCCUCAACCCGACAAGUGAGAAAGUUGGACACUUUUAUUUUCUGCAACCAACAUUGGGACAUUCACUUGAGCAGCCACACCCUUCAUGCCCUCCCCUCCCCACUUUCGGAUCACUGCCCGCUUUUGCUUGCCACGGACCGAGGACCGAAGAGACCACCUUCAUAAAAAUUUGAGAACAUUUUGGUCAAGAUGCCAGGAUUCAAAGAUGUUGUCCAAAAGUCUUGGAACGAGGAGUCCACCCAUUCUGAGCCUUGUCAGAUUUUGUUCCAUAAGUUGCAAAGGAUGGGUUUGACAACUCAAAUCUUACAGUGAAAGUAUGUUCUUGACUUAAGGUCCAUCUUCACAUGGCCCUUAGGUGAUCCCACACCUUGAUAUGGCCAUGGAGAACCACACCCUGACCCGAAUGAAGCUGACAUUACACACAUGUUAAAGCGGAGGGCUAUCAGUCUCGCGGUGCUUGAGUGAACAAGGAAAAAGCAAUGCUCCAAACUCACAAAUCUCACAGAGGGCGACCAUAAUACUAGAUUCUUCCACUUGCAGGUCAAUGGAAGACGGCGGGAAAACAACAUUCACCGCCAUAAGCAUAACAACGAGCGGGAAAUGGGCACGAUGAGAAAGACGAAAUCACCUGAAGCCACUUUGCCAACACAUUGGGUCGGCCGCCGCGCGACCAAACGGACUUUCUUUGGGCAAACUAUUGACCUUCCAGGCUGCGCCUUUGCAGGUAUUGAUGCAUCAAUGGAGAAGGAGGUUGCGGUGGAUGUGACUAGCAUGCAUAGUGGGAAGGCCCACAGUCCAGAUGGCUUCACCGGGUUGUUCUUCAAAUCAUAUUGGGGCAUUGUCGCUCCGGACAUCAUGGUCAUUGUGUGCCUUUUCUCUGAUAGGAAAACCUCUAACUUCCAAUGGCUCAGCUCGACGAACAUUGUGUUUCUCCCCCAGGAAAUGCGGUGCCCAGGAGGUCACUGACAACAGACCCAUUAAUUUAAUCCAUGCCAUUAUGAAAAUCAUCUAAAAACUCUUGACUACCUGGUUGGCUCCCUUCAUGAGGCCUUUGGUCGCCAUUGCACAAAGUUCUUUCAUCAAGAAAAGAAGCAUCCAUGAAAACUUCAUGUUUGUGAAGAACUUUAUGAUCAUAUUGCAAAACCGCAAGAAGCCAACCCUUUUGAUUAAAUUGGAUUUCAAGAAAGUGUUUGACACUAUACGCUAGGACUACUUGCUUAACCUUUUGUGGUGUAGAUGACUCCUUGUCAAAUUUAUAGAUUGGGUUGCCACGCUCCUUUCCACAACCUCUUAUAGAGUUGUGCUCAAUGGAGUUCCUAGGGGCAGCCGUCGGGCAUGGGACGUGGUACAUGGGCGGAUAAUGUGUCGGUUUUAGGGGCUAGUGUUGGAGAUGCCCUCUGAACUGAACCUGUAGCACCCUGGCGAACCUGUCUUGUAUGUAUUGUGGAGCUUUAGGCCUAGUCUAGCUAGGCGUUGUUUAGGUUUUCGCCCGGUUUUCCUUGAUAAACCGAGUAUUAUCCUUUCUUUCUUCAUUUUAGCACUAGUCUUUAUGCGAUGCAUUCCGUCUUUGGCGUGUUCUUGUAAUACCCUUUCUAAUCAAUGCAUUUGGUAGCUCUCCUGCCAACAUUCAAAAAAUAAUAACAACCUUGCUCAAAAUGACCCAAAUUUUUUGUUCCCCAUAGUACCUUUGUUGCUUCACUACGCUUACAACAAGUUUGGACACUCAAAAUAAGUAAGGCUCUUAAGAAAGACUCUUUAGCCAUCUAUUAACAUAAAAACAGUUCCAAUUUAAGAUCCUUUGGAAACCGAAAUGUCUAAGUUGGAUUUAUGUUUUUUAGUUUCAUAACAGUCAUAGUUUGGAGAUAGAUAGGCAUCAAAAUUUGAUCCCGUCUGUUCAACUUUUCGUUUCGGGUUGUUCAUAAUGUUUGCGGUAGUGAGCUCCUGAAGGUUUUUGGGUUGUUUAUAAUGUCUGCGGUAGUGAGUCCUUCAAGCAAGAAAACCCUUUAGAGAAACUCCACAGGGGAUUGAAGCUUCUAUAUAGUAUGAAAAGAAAAGGUUAAUUUGUAGCCAAAAAUACAAAAGAAAUGUUUAAUAUCUAUACUUUGUUACUUCACAUUUUCUGACCAAAAAUAAUAAAGACAAAAAAAGAAGCGACUCCGCUGGGGAUCGAACCCAGAAUCUCUGGUUUCGUAGACCAGCGCCUUAUCCAUUGGGCCACGGAGUCGUUGUGUGAUUAAGUUGAACGUUGAUCCUACUUAAUUACAUACAGCUGACCGAAAUCACUGUGCGAGUAGCGAGCACAUUUGUGUCAUUCCUACCACGGUUUUGAAAAAAACUAUGCUAGUACCAAACUAGGCCAGCACAAAGGAUGUCAUAACUGAAGGAUGCAAACCACUCAGGAAAAUAAAUAAAUUGUUCAGAACAUGGACAUGAAGGAAAAGGGAAGAACAUUGGAGGGAACGGCUCCAAUUAUUAAACAGAGGGCGGAUGGCUUCAGUCAAGAAGUUCUUAUUCGUCUUGCUGAUAAAAAAAACAUUGCCAUGCAUAUGGUCACACAGCUAGGUGAGGUAGUUGAUGAACUCGACGGCGGUCGCAAUCGCACCUCCGGUGAUGGCAUCCUGGGCAAUCUUGUUCCCUUUGUUGUUGCUCACAGCAGAGAUCAGGGCGCCGCUUGUGAUGCCUCCAAUCAACGCAUUUUUCUACGGGGGUACCAGAAAAGAGAGAGAUGACUAAAUACUCUCAAGACUGACUGCAAACAUGCCAACAACAAUAUUGAUCAUAAAAUAGAUAAUAUUUUUAUGGUUAAGAUACCUAACCUGCUAGCACAAUAUUAGAGUUACAUAAUCUUAGGACAGGGUGUGGACACACAAGUGAAAACUAGCAUCAUGAUUUAUGAGAUGCAAUGAAUCGGAUUGAUUCUUCUCGUGCACUAAUUAGCAAAGAAUCUUAGUCAAACUGAAGAAAGGAUCUCCAUUGUCAAAUGGGCAGAGGCAGUCAUGCAGAUAGAUAUUCCUCCACCUUAGGUUCAGUUAAGUGCAGGAAACAUGAAAGAUCCAUUUUCAGAGAAUCAUUACCCAGUCAUACUGACCACGGACCCUUUCCACUCCAUACUCCAUGCCUACAUACACUCCAGCAACAGCACCUGCAGAUUAACAGAAGAAGCACCAGAAUGCGUCAGCGAACAUAAGAAGAAACGGAUGAGCGAUUGACACCAAUGCAUUCUUAUGAGCCAAAUAAAACAAUAAAGAAAUGUUCUUCUACUUAGUUACCCCAAUAUGCGCCCUCCUUGCACAUUUUCUUCAGCUGCAUAAAAGACCAGAAUACCAUAUUAGUACACUGUAGAUGACAGAUAGAUAGUUACCUUGACGCAAGUGCAGAAACAAGGCCACUGACUUUUCACUAAUCCACAAGUAGAGAGCAAUUAUGCAAAGUAGUGGUUCAAGGCCUUAGACUUUUAGUUCAGCUGUUUUUUUCUCCAUUUAUCAUACGAGGGUAUGUUCAAGGCACCCCUAUUGAACAAGUCUGAACUGUUGAACAUUUAGUCAGUUGCACAGUUGAAUAUAUCAUCUGCCUAUUAGGCCACUACUAUUAUACUAUUGUAAUACUGAUAGUGGCAAGACUCGGGACAAUUAAGUUAAGUGAGAGAAAAAACAAACGCAGUGGAAACCAGCACUUACUGUCUGCUCAAGAUUGCGCUUCGAGACACUCCCUGAAAAGCAAAAGAAAAUAAUUUGAUGUCACAUUUGUCUGCACAGCACCAACAAAAACUGAUGUAUGUCCCACUGUAUGCUGUUUCUACCUUCAAACUAAAAUCUGGGCGUUUCUACCUUCAUCAUUCAGAAAAGAAGAAAAAAAUCCUUAAUUUUCUCAGGGAAUGGAUCUAUCAGUUACCCUACACCGUCGCCCAAGCUAGGCGAUUUUCUGAGCGCAAAAGGAAAGAAACCGGCCGAAUCUGUGGGGCGGAAGAAAUCAGAGACGGGAUGCGUGGUUACCACUUUGGAGGCAGUCGAAGGCGUCCUCGGCGGCCACCCUGCAGGCGCCGACCUGCGCACAUUAUCCAAUCGCCGGAUCAGACACAUUGCAAUAUACAGACAUUGGAUGAAAGAUGAGGGAGCGUACGGCGCCGAUCUUGAGGAAGCCGUCGACGGUGCGGUUGAGGAGCGGGUUCCCGAGGUCGAUGGCGAUGUCCAACUUGUUCGACCCCGCCGACAACCCCGCGCGAGGCAUCCUUCCUGAACCUUCUCGGCCGACCUCCCUCCCUCCCCCUCUCUCUCUCUCGUCUAGCACUCGGCACACAGAUACAGAGCAAGAAGAUAGAUAGGCCACGUUAUCCCCAUUCGAGGGACCCAUCCAUUUGUAGGAAACUGUUGCACACAGAUACAAUGCUUUUCCAGAACGGAGAACCAGGUUUGGCCCAAAGCAAACUAGGUUUGUUAACAACAUGUUUAAAACAUCGGAACCACUAAUAAUAAAGAAAUUAAAACGUACAAGUUUCUUCCAAUCACUUUCCCUCUCAUCAAAGAACCUUUUGCUCCACCAAGCAAGUUUUGUCCGGAUUUUGUCCGUUUGGUAGGGCUAUGGGGCGGCGUCCGGCCGUUUUCCUCGAUGCGUUGACCGUGCACCCAACGCGCGGAUGCGUCAUUUGUAGUCAGGGUCGUCGGCCGCCGGCGUCGGGAGUGGCAUUUCGUCGAACGGGUUGCGGGUGCUGGGAAGGUUGGCCGUAGGAAUCGGUCGGGACUGCUUCCUUUGCGUCUCAUUGGAUGACUAGCCAGAGCCACUGUACCCAGGCAUGGCGUUGACGUUGAUGACAGACAUGGCGUCGGGGAUGGCCGGCACGAUCACGCUACCGUCCGCGCGAUGUGGAGAACCGGGUCUGAGCAUGCUGCCGCAGUGGAUGAAAACCGGGCAUCUCUAAUGUUAUGGAAUAGCUCGACGACUGGUACUGCGGAGGGCGAACGGCCGACAAGCUUAUAGGAUAAAUUCCUACCCUAUAGGAUAAAUUCCUACCAAACCGUCCAACAAUGUUUUUAAUAAUCCUAUCAACAAUAGGUCGCAGAUUUUCCCUCCUCGGUUUUCUUGUAAUGAAGAGGGACCCCCGGGUAGGGAAAAUCCCCUAUGUGACAGCAGAAAAUCUGAGCAAAGCAUUUUGACAUCUCUUCAUCCACAUGUAUGAUGUGGAGGUCACCCUUAUGGAUGUUAAUCUUUAAUCCAGAAGGUUUUUCAAAACAAGCAAGGAUCCAUUUCAAAUUUCUAGCAUAUUCAGCAGAAGCCUCUAAGAAAAGAAUGGUGUCAUCAACAUAUUGAAGGCUGACACCACCACCAAGGGACCACAUGCGGUAGAAGACUAGCUAUCAAUUUUUGAUUCAUAGCUUUAGCAAGCAUUUUAGAAAAUACAUCAUCCACCCAAUUAAAAAGCAAUGGAGAAAGAGGGUCGCCUUGUUCAACCCCUUCCCCCCUGCAAAGUGGGGUCCAUUGGUGUCAUUAAUCCUAGCACAAAAAUGAGCUUUGAUGCGGAGAACUACAAAUCCAAUUAAUCCAUUUUCCCCAAAGGCUCUAGAAGUGAGCAUUUCCACGAGGAAAUCCCAACUCACUUUAUCAUAGGCUUUGUGACAGUCUAGUUUCAGGACCAGACCAUUGGUGUCAGUCAUGUGAAUCUCAUGAAUCACUUCAUGCACCUUGACCACACUUUCUAAAAUGAAUCUACCAUUGAUAAAAACAAUCUGGUUACGAGAUAUCAAUCUGUCACAAAAUAGGAGAGACUCUAGUGGUCAUAGCUUUAGAGACAAUUUUAAGGACUAAAGUAAUAACUUAGACUAAUAGGUCCGGAGUUUUUCAUAUCUUUGGCAUUGGGAACUUUAGGGACUAAAGUAAUAAUAGCAAAAUCUAAACGUUAAAAAUCUAAGGUACCAGCUUCAAAAUCCCUCACCAACCACAUAAAAUAAUCUUUGAUCAAGUCCUAGAAAGUUUGAUAAAAUAAAGAGGCCAUCAGGUCCAGGAGCACCACUUGCAUAAGAACUCAUAAUGACAGUCUUUAUUUCUUCCUCAGAAAAGGGUUUUCCCCGUAAGGCAUUGUCUUCCAUAGUCAUUAAAUCAUUCUCAUUGCAGAAAGCAGAAUCCAUAUGGAUAUCAGGUUUUGGUUCUAAAGAGAAAAGGUCUUUACGAAAAGUAGUUGCAACAUUAAGCAUGUCAGAAGUAGAGGUAACAGACCCUGAGGUCCAUUCAAUUCUGAGAGGUGGUUUUUACGGUGUCUAUGAUUAGCCAAAGAACGAGAGUAGGCAUUAUUACGAUCUCCCUCAAGAAUUUUUCUAUCUUUGGAUAUCUGCCAUAAGGCACUCCUCUCUUUUUUCCAAAUCUUACUUAAUCCAGUCUUAAUAUCUUUCAUUCUUUCAUAGUCUGUAGUAGAAAGUGGGCUAGAUUCAGAAGGACAUCUAACAUAUUAAACUCCAGAAGGAGGGCCUUCUUUUUCUUCUUAAUGGUAGCCUCAAUAUUUAUACUGCAACCUUUAAUUUCCUUCCUAAGAACCCUAGUUCUGCAUUGUGAAUUAUCAACAGAAGAGGUAGUGUCAGAGACAGAAGUCCACACAUAUCAUGAACUAAUUGAACAAAACCAGGUUGAGAUAACCGUCAUUUCUCAAACCUAAACAUUUUAGGGCUAUUGAUCUUUCUAGCCCCGGUAUCAAACAUCAGGGGAGUAUGAUCACUGCCCACGGCCCACCCUUGAAAAGGUUACUCUCUCCGUCCCAUAAUGUAAGACGUUAGGACGUUACAUUACGGGAAGGAGGGAGUACAAGUGAAGAAAGAGGGGAAUGUGCAUCCUAGUUCUAUCAAUGACAGCAAAAAAAGGAUCAAUCUGAUUAUUGGAUCAGGUAAAGUUUCUAUUAGAGAUAGGACCAUCUCAUCUAAACAAAGGAUCAAUUUUGUUUUCUAUAAUCUUAACAGGGGUAAGUACAAAUGAAGGAAGUACUAAACAAAGGUCGAAUGUGUAUACUUUGACCACGUAACAGGGGUAAUUGUUAGCUUACACUUUUAGAGUUAAAUAAGUUGCAAAGCUUAGCAUUACAAUUUAUCAUUUAGUUUCGGGCUGUUCAUAAUAUCUACGGUAAUGAGGACAUAACCAUUUCGGAACAAAAAUAAUACAAAUACUCCCUACGUCCCGAAUUGCUAGAUAUCCGUUUAGGCGACGAGUAAUUCCAGACAGAGGAAGCACAAAGCAAGCAAAAUUUAACAUUGCCAUUUAUCAUUGAGUUUCAAAACAUAGUUUGAAAAGGACGACUAAACAAGUUUGCUUAAACGGUAAUGAGGACAUAAACAUUUCUGAAGAAAAAUAAUAGCACUAUCUGGGAAGGAAGGAGGAGUACACAAAAGUUUCUAUUAGAGAUAGGACCAUCUCAUCUAAACAAAGGAUCAAUUUUGUUUUCUAUAAUCUUAACAGGGGUAAGUACAAAUGAAGGAAGUACUAAACAAAGGUCGAAUGUGUAUACUUUGACCACGUAACAGGGGUAAUUGUUAGCUUACACUUUUAGAGUUAAAUAAGUUGCAAAGCUUAGCAUUACAAUUUAUCAUUUAGUUUCGGGCUGUUCAUAAUAUCUACGGUAAUGAGGACAUAACCAUUUCGGAACAAAAAUAAUACAAAUACUCCCUACGUCCCGAAUUGCUAGAUAUCCGUUUAGGCGACGAGUAAUUCCAGACAGAGGAAGCACAAAGCAAGCAAAAUUUAACAUUGCCAUUUAUCAUUGAGUUUCAAAACAUAGUUUGAAAAGGACGACUAAACAAGUUUGCUUAAACGGUAAUGAGGACAUAAACAUUUCUGAAGAAAAAUAAUAGCACUAUCUGGGAAGGAAGGAGGAGUACACAAAAGUUUCUAUUAGAGAUAGGACCAUCUCAUCUAAACAAAGGAUCAAUUUUGUUUUCUAUAAUCUUAACAGGGGUAAGUACAAAUGAAGGAAGUACUAAACAAAGGUCGAAUGUGUAUACUUUGACCACGUAACAGGGGUAAUUGUUAGCUUACACUUUUAGAGUUAAAUAAGUUGCAAAGCUUAGCAUUACAAUUUAUCAUUUAGUUUCGGGCUGUUCAUAAUAUCUACGGUAAUGAGGACAUAACCAUUUCGGAACAAAAAUAAUACAAAUACUCCCUACGUCCCGAAUUGCUAGAUAUCCGUUUAGGCGACGAGUAAUUCCAGACAGAGGAAGCACAAAGCAAGCAAAAUUUAACAUUGCCAUUUAUCAUUGAGUUUCAAAACAUAGUUUGAAAAGGACGACUAAACAAGUUUGCUUAAACGGUAAUGAGGACAUAAACAUUUCUGAAGAAAAAUAAUAGCACUAUCUGGGAAGGAAGGAGGAGUACACAAAAAAGAAGCGACUCCGCCGCUGGGGAUCGAACCCAGAAUCUCUGGUUUCGUAGACCAGCGCCUUAUCCAUUGGGCCACGGAGCCCUUGAAUGUAUGGAUGGAGCGUUGAGCUUGCUUAAUUAGACACCCGUGAGCGGAAUCACUGUGCGGCUAGUGAGGGCAUUUGUGUCAUUCCUGCCACGAUUUUGAAAGAACUAUGGUACCAAACUAGGCCAGCACAAAGGAUGCCAUAACUGAAGGAUGCAAACCACGAAGGAGAAUAAAUUAUUCAGAACAUGGACAUGAGAACGCAGGCAACAGAAAAUGGAAGAACAUUGGAGGAAACGGCUCCAAUUAUUAACACAGAGGGUGAUGGCUUGGCUUCAGUCAAGAAGUUCUUAUUCAGUCUUGUCCGAUAAAAACAUAGCUGCGAAUAUGGAUGGCCUCACAGCUAGGUGAGGUAGUUGAUGAACUCGACGGCGGUCGCGAUGGCGCCUCCGGUGAUGGCGUCCUGGGCGAUCUUGUUCCCUUUGUUGUUGCUCGCGGCAGAGACCAGGGCACCGGUUGCAAUGCCUCCUAGCAACGCAUUUUUCUGCGGGAGCACCGGAAAAGAGAGAGGGAUUAAUAAACAAUCUAAGACUGAC